AGUAAGCCAGACAAUCGCUGCUGAUUUAUCAGGAGAGGAAAGUCCGAGCUUCAUAGGGCAGGGUGCUGGGUAACUCCCAGUGGAGGUGACUCUAAGGAAAGUGCAACAGAAAUAUACCGCCAGAACAAGUUUACUUGUGAGUUUAGAUUUAUCUAACUGGUAAGGGUGGAAAGGUGAGGUAAGGGCUCACCAGCGUACUGGUGACUUUACGGCUAUGUAAACCCCAUCUGAAGCAAGAUCGAAUAGAGAGACAUAUGGGGCUGCCCGUCCCGUCUCUGGGUGUAUCGCUUGAGCUUAUUGGAAACAAUAGGCCUAGAUAGAUGAUUGUCUAAUACAGAACUCGGCUUAUAGACUUGCUCGU
RNAcentral lists this RNase P RNA (361 nucleotides) under Clostridium ihumii. RNAcentral's name for it is "Bacterial RNase P class A". It matches the Rfam family "Bacterial RNase P class A". From Rfam's summary of the family: Ribonuclease P (RNase P) is a ubiquitous endoribonuclease, found in archaea, bacteria and eukarya as well as chloroplasts and mitochondria. Its best characterised activity is the generation of mature 5'-ends of tRNAs by cleaving the 5'-leader elements of precursor-tRNAs. The record is from RNAcentral. Lineage: Bacteria; Bacillati; Bacillota; Clostridia; Eubacteriales; Clostridiaceae.